Molecule: long non-coding RNA, 1040 nt
Filed under: Phasianus colchicus (ring-necked pheasant)
Lineage: Eukaryota; Metazoa; Chordata; Aves; Galliformes; Phasianidae
Description: lncRNA (ENSPCLG00000020111.1)
Source: RNAcentral
UAGCCUCAAAAUGCUCAUCCUGACCCUAAAAUGUGAACCCUGACCCAAAAAUGCUUAUCCUGACCCCAGAAUUCAGACCCCAAAAUGCUCAUCCUGACCCUGAAAUGUGAACCCCAACCCCAAAAACUCUCAUCCUGACCCCCAAAUUAAACCCAAAAACGCUCACCGACCCCAAAAUUCACACCCCAAAAUACUCAUCUUGACCCAAAAAUGCUCAUCCUGACCCUAAAAUGUGAACCCUGACCCCAAAACCUCUCAUCCUGACCCCAAAAUUACACCUAAAAACGCUCAUCCUGAACCCAAAAUUUGAACCCAAAAAUGUUCAUCCUGAACCAAAAACACUCAUCCUGACCCCAAAAUUCAGACCCCAAAAUGCUCAUCCUGACCCCAAAAUCCUCAUUCUGACCCUAAAACCUGAACCCUGACCCCAAAACCUCUCAUCCUGACCCCAAAAUUAAACCCCAAAAUGCUCACCCUGACCCCCAAAACUCCCCACCCUUAAACCCAACCCCUCCAAUUUCUUUGGGGGCAGCGCCAUCACAGCCGCAUCCCUCUCCAUCCCAUAAACGGAGCGGGACCCCUUCCCCCCUCCGUCUCAAUUAACGACCCUGGGCUAAUUAACGAUGACUAAUUAAUGAUGGUUUCCUUCUCACCCCGAAGCUGGCGGCUCCGCCGGGCGCAGGCUGCGCUCCUUUCUGGCCGUUUACGUCCUCAUGGCGCUCAGCUUCCUCCUCCUCACCGCGCUCAGCUCCGUCUCGUUAGCCAGAAGUAAUUCGUUAACGAGGGGACGGGGUGGGAGUGGGGGGGGGGGAUGGGGGGCACGAAGUGUGGGGCUGAGGGUGGAGACCCCAAUAAAGUGUGGGGCAGAGGAUGGAGACCCCAGUGGGGAUUAUUGUAGGGUAACGUGUGGGGUAGAGGGUGGAGACCCCAAUAAAGUGUGGGGCAGGGGAUGGAGACCCCAGUGGGGAUGAUUGUAGGGUAAUGUGUGGGGCAGGGGAUGGAGAUCCCAAUAAAAUGUGGGGCAGGGGAUGGAGACCCCA